This 69-nucleotide transfer RNA is filed under the name Plestiodon egregius lividus. RNAcentral describes it as "tRNA-Gly". The record is from RNAcentral. Lineage: Eukaryota; Metazoa; Chordata; Lepidosauria; Squamata; Scincidae.
AUUCUUCUAGUAUUAUUAGUACAAGUGACUUCCAAUCACUAAGUCUCAGCUUAACCCUGAGGAGGAAUA